This 409-nucleotide ribosomal RNA is filed under the name bacterium enrichment culture clone ALO1_GLFRUDD03G60XV. RNAcentral's name for it is "bacterial SSU rRNA". It matches the Rfam family "Bacterial small subunit ribosomal RNA", at positions 9 to 417 of the family's 1533-position model. The record is from RNAcentral.
GAGUUUGAUCGUGGCUCAGAUUGAACGCUGGCGGCAUGCCUUACACAUGCAAGUCGAACGGCAGCACGGGAGCUUGCUCCUGGUGGCGAGUGGCGAACGGGUGAGUAAUGCAUCGGAACGUAUCCUGGAGUGGGGGAUAACGUAGCGAAAGUUACGCUAAUACCGCAUAUUCUGUGAGCAGGAAAGCGGGGGACCUUCGGGCCUCGCGCUCUUGGAGCGGCCGAUGUCGGAUUAGCUAGUUGGUGAGGUAAAGGCUCACCAAGGCGACGAUCCGUAGCAGGUCUGAGAGGAUGAUCUGCCACACUGGAACUGAGACACGGUCCAGACUCCUACGGGAGGCAGCGAGUGGGGAAUUUUGGACAAUGGGGGCAACCCUGAUCCAGCCAUGCCGCGUGAGUGAAGAAGGCCU